RNAcentral lists this ribosomal RNA (491 nucleotides) under uncultured bacterium. Its description in RNAcentral is "partial 16S ribosomal RNA". It matches the Rfam family "Bacterial small subunit ribosomal RNA", at positions 29 to 507 of the family's 1533-position model. The record is from RNAcentral.
AGUGAACGCUGGCGGUAGGCCUAACACAUGCAAGUCGAACGGCAGCACAGUAAGAGCUUGCUCUUACGGGUGGCGAGUGGCGGACGGGUGAGGAAUACAUCGGAAUCUACUUUUUCGUGGGGGAUAACGUAGGGAAACUUACGCUAAUACCGCAUACGACCUACGGGUGAAAGCAGGGGAUCUUCGGACCUUGCGCGAUUGAAUGAGCCGAUGUCGGAUUAGCUAGUUGGCGGGGUAAAGGCCCACCAUGGCGACGAUCCGUAGCUGGUCUGAGAGGAUGAUCAGCCACACUGGAACUGAGACACGGUCCAGACUCCUACGGGAGGCAGCAGUGGGAAUAUUGGACAAUGGGCGCAAGCCUGAUCCAGCCAUACCGCGUGGGUGAAGAAGGCCUUCGGGUUGUAAAGCCCUUUUGUUGGGAAAGAAAAGCAGCAGGUUAAUACCCCGCUGUUCUGACGGUACCCAAAGAAUAAGCACCGGCUAACUUCGUG